RNAcentral lists this ribosomal RNA (477 nucleotides) under uncultured bacterium. Its description in RNAcentral is "bacterial SSU rRNA". It matches the Rfam family "Bacterial small subunit ribosomal RNA", at positions 24 to 518 of the family's 1533-position model. The record is from RNAcentral.
UCAGGACGAACGCUGGCGGCGUGCCUAACACAUGCAAGUCGAGCGAGGAGAUCCUUCGGGAUGAUCCUAGCGGCGGACGGGUGAGUAACACGUGGGCAACCUGCCUCAUAGAGAGGAAUAGCCUUCCGAAAGGGAGAUUAAUACCUCAUAACAUUGCAGUUUCGCAUGGAACAGCAAUUAAAGGAGCAAUCCACUAUGAGAUGGGCCCGCGGCGCAUUAGCUAGUUGGUGAGGUAACGGCUCACCAAGGCGACGAUGCGUAGCCGACCUGAGAGGGUGAUCGGCCACAUUGGGACUGAGACACGGCCCAGACUCCUACGGGAGGCAGCAGUGGGGAAUAUUGCACAAUGGGGGAAACCCUGAUGCAAGCAACGCCGCGUGAGUGAUGACGGCCUUCGGGUUGUAAAGCUCUGUCUUCAGGGACGAUAAUGACGGUACCUGAGGAGGAAGCCACGGCUAACUACGUGCCAGCCGCAGC